Long non-coding RNA from Dreissena polymorpha, 895 nucleotides. RefSeq lists it as uncharacterized. Lineage: Eukaryota; Metazoa; Mollusca; Bivalvia; Myida; Dreissenidae. The record is from RefSeq and is a predicted model, not a curated record. The transcript is spliced from 5 exons.
AUUAGCGACGAUUUUGUCGCUAUAAACAAAAAGUGAAUUAAAGAGGUUAAAUUCACAGUUAAAAGGGAUGGUAGGCCGAAUGAUAUCAUACUGGAUAUGUUAGGCAUGUGAUGUGUAUUGUUAUAGGAAAUAAUUCAAGUGGACACAAACUCCGACGCCGGAAAGAAACAAUAAAACACAUGUCGCAGGGUGUCCCAAAAAAUGCACAGUAGCAAAGAAGAAAUCAGUGAAAUGGAAGAUGAGAGCAAAGUCGAAGAGAUUGCAUCACAUUUACAAGAUGGCAGAAUAGUUAAACUUAGCAAAUCUUUUCUCAUGAAGAUAAAAAAUUGUUCCGACCUAACGAACAAGGGUGGUGGUUUCGGUAAAAUAUAUAUUUCUCGCAUUCCUAUUCCUGGAUUUAAACACAAACUUGUCCUAAAGGAAAUUGGAGGAGGUAAUGAGAAUUCAAAAUCUCAAACGCAACUUUUUGGGUCCGUUAAAAAUGAGAAGCUGGCAUCACGCUUGAGACACUUUGCUAUCGUUCCACUGUUGGCAUACCACGAUGAUCUGUCGAUAGGGAAAGAUUAUGCAAACGGAAACGAACGAAACGGAAAAGCUUUGUUGAUAGAUGAGAACGACACUCCAUCGAAUAACGCAACAUUUACGAUUUUUAAUGAUGCCUUUCUUAUUUAUUAACUAAUUUUUGUUAAAUUUAGAUUCUUCACAAAUAUACAUCUCUGAAUAUUUUGAUCUUUAUGCGAUUUCAUCAACAUUUCGAACAAGAAUUACUACGCUAAAACAAAAAUACACGACGUAAAAGUUUAUUUUUUUAUAUUCUUAAAGUACUUUAUUAUUUGAACUUCAACUUAACAAUUAUCAUCUCCUAGGUGCAAGGUAUAAUGCAGGUUAACUCGUU